This 496-nucleotide ribosomal RNA is filed under the name uncultured bacterium. Its description in RNAcentral is "partial 16S ribosomal RNA". It matches the Rfam family "Bacterial small subunit ribosomal RNA", at positions 30 to 523 of the family's 1533-position model. The record is from RNAcentral.
AUUGAACGCUGGCGGAAUGCUUUACACAUGCAAGUCGAACGGUAGAGGGGGCAACCCCUCGAGAGUGGCGAACGGGCGAGUAAUAUAUCGGAACGUGCCCAGUCGUGGGGGACAACGUAGCGAAAGUUACGCUAAUACCGCAUACGAUCUAAGGAUGAAAGCGGGGGAUCGCAAGACCUCGCGCGAUUGGAGCGGCCGAUAUCAGAUUAGGUAGUUGGUGGGGUAAAGGCUCACCAAGCCAACGAUCUGUAGCUGGUCUGAGAGGACGACCAGCCACACUGGAACUGAGACACGGUCCAGACUCCUACGGGAGGCAGCAGUGGGGAAUUUUGGACAAUGGACGCAAGUCUGAUCCAGCCAUUCCGCGUGCAGGAUGAAGGCCCUCGGGUUGUAAACUGCUUUUGUACGGAACGAAAAGGUCUCCUCUAAUACAGGGGGCUCAUGACGGUACCGUAAGAAUAAGCACCGGCUAACUACGUGCCAGCAGCCGCCGUAA